CUGGAUAAUUGCUAGUAGAAAUACUAGAGGAAAGUCCAUGCUCGCACUAUCUGCGAUGAUAGUAGUGUUUGUGCCAGAGGAAACGAUAACUCUGGGUAGAUGGGAGCAUCUAACGGCAGAAUGAAACCUAAGUUUUAUAAUAUGGUCUAAUUCUUGAAAGUGCCACAGUGACGUAGUUAUAUAGAAAUAUAUAAGUGGAACGCGGUAAACCCCUCAAGCGAGAAACCUAAAUUUGGUAAGGGAAGAGAGAGCGAUAAAAUGAAAUCGUAAUCUCAUGCGAAAGCAUAGAUAAAUAAUUAUCCUCGACAGAACAUGGCUUACAG
RNAcentral lists this RNase P RNA (323 nucleotides) under human gut metagenome. Its description in RNAcentral is "Bacterial RNase P class B". It matches the Rfam family "Bacterial RNase P class B". From Rfam's summary of the family: Ribonuclease P (RNase P) is a ubiquitous endoribonuclease, found in archaea, bacteria and eukarya as well as chloroplasts and mitochondria. Its best characterised activity is the generation of mature 5'-ends of tRNAs by cleaving the 5'-leader elements of precursor-tRNAs. Cellular RNase Ps are ribonucleoproteins. The record is from RNAcentral.